Molecule: long non-coding RNA, 246 nt
Filed under: Medicago truncatula (barrel medic)
Lineage: Eukaryota; Viridiplantae; Streptophyta; Magnoliopsida; Fabales; Fabaceae
Description: long non-coding RNA (MTRU_LNC003377)
Source: RNAcentral
AAACAUCAUAAAAUAAAAAAAACAUUCAAACACAACAAAAUCAUUCUGCAACAAACAAACAAACACAAACACAAUGUCUCUCUCUUCAACAUCUUCCACCUCUCUCAUUCCCACCAAAUCAUUACUCCAACCCACCAAACCAAACCCACCUUCAUUCCCCAUCGGGCUCAAACCCAUGCCCAAACCCAAACCCGGUUCAAUCCUCGCCGUUCACGCCGCUGAACCAGCAAAAAACCCGGUCCUCAC